GGCCUGGGUCCGCAGAUAACGCCAACGCCGUCGCUGCUUCUGCUGCCUCACGGCCGGCGGCGCCUCUCGCGGUUGCUAGUCACAGGAGGGAGGUGUUGCUGGGAACGGCGGCCCUGGGCGCGUUGUUCCUGAGGACGCCGCUGCCGGCCGAGGCGCGUGAGGUCGUGGUCGGCAAGUUCCUGCCGCCGGUGCCGUCCAGCCCGGGCUUCGUCUUCUUCAAGGCGUCCACCAAGGACACCCCUGCUCUCCGGGCCGGUGAUGAUUCGAUCCCUUCUUGCAUUGCAUUGCUCGCUAGUGCACUAAUUCCUGAUUUAAUCAGUCGUCCCAGUAGUUUUGGAGAGGACAGUCCUGAUUUGGUUUUGGGACAUUGAGAAGAAGACCCAAUUAAUUCAUCAGCUGAG
Molecule: long non-coding RNA, 401 nt
Filed under: Brachypodium distachyon (stiff brome)
Lineage: Eukaryota; Viridiplantae; Streptophyta; Magnoliopsida; Poales; Poaceae
Description: long non-coding RNA (BDIS_LNC002664)
Source: RNAcentral